CAACACAAGGGAGCUGCCCUGCCUUCUCUCUAAUCCCAGCACCUAGAAUAGUGCCAGACACAUAGUACAUGCUCAGUUAAAUUUCUCAAAUGAAUGAGUGAACGAACCCAGGAAGGUUUCCCUUCUCCCUUCUUCUGGGUCCAUAGAACUCUCUUUACCCCUUCUCUUCCCACACAGAGGUUUACCAAGUGUUUCUUCCAUGGCCAGUUCACGUGUGGAUACCAAGGACUGGGCCGGGGACCCGUGGACUCAGCUGCGUCGUGGCACCAGGUUCAGAGACUCUGACAGUUGGAAACAUUGCAGAAUCAGAAGACAUCUGUUGAGUGUAGCACGAGUAUCUGCAAAACAGCGAUCAGGGCUGAAUGGUGUUAUUUCUGGACUCCUGGGUGCAGGUGUGAAGUCCCAGCAAGAAACAAAUUGCACUGAGCUCUUUGCAGCCACUUACUUGCUACAAGUUAAACACUCCAAGAGGCUGUUCUGGGAUAUGAUGCCUACCCUAACGCUGGCACUCUAUUUGCCCUGCUCUGUUUUAGAAGGUCAGACUCAGCCCAUCCACUAAGCCAUCCCACGGGCACCAUUCAGGGUGGUGGUAAACAUCCCAGGCUUUGGAGCGGACAGGACCGUGUGCAAGCCCCAGCUCCAUGACUCCAGCUGCGGGACUUUGGAGAAGUUGGAGGACUUCACCAGGUCUGUUGUCAUCUGUGUGAUGGGAAGAAUGACAUUCCCCUUGCCUAGUGCUGGGAUGAGAAGGGACUUACUUCAUGUGUACCAAAUGCUUCGUGUGCUGGUUACCAGGAUCCCUCUGACCUCGCUCUGCUUCCGAG
RNAcentral lists this long non-coding RNA (824 nucleotides) under Mustela putorius furo (domestic ferret). RNAcentral describes it as "lncRNA (ENSMPUG00000031749.1)". The record is from RNAcentral. Lineage: Eukaryota; Metazoa; Chordata; Mammalia; Carnivora; Mustelidae.